AGAGUUUGAUCCUGGCUCAGGACGAACGCUGGCGGCGUGCUUAACACAUGCAAGUCGAGCGGUAAGGCCCUUCGGGGUACACGAGCGGCGAACGGGUGAGUAACACGUGAGCAAUCUGCCCUUCACUCUGGGAUAGCCUCGGGAAACUGAGAUUAAUACCGGAUACGACCACUUCAGGCAUCUGAUGGUGGUGGAAAGUUCCGGCGGUGAAGGAUGAGCUCGCGGCCUAUCAGCUUGUUGGCGGGGUAAUGGCCCACCAAGGCUUCGACGGGUAGCCGGCCUGAGAGGGUGACCGGCCACACUGGGACUGAGACACGGCCCAGACUCCUACGGGAGGCAGCAGUGGGGAAUAUUGGACAAUGGGCGAAAGCCUGAUCCAGCAACGCCGCGUGAGGGAUGACGGCCUUCGGGUUGUAUACCUCUUUCAGCAGGGAC
RNAcentral lists this ribosomal RNA (435 nucleotides) under uncultured bacterium. RNAcentral's name for it is "bacterial SSU rRNA". It matches the Rfam family "Bacterial small subunit ribosomal RNA", at positions 8 to 446 of the family's 1533-position model. The record is from RNAcentral.